UGUUUCGGCUAGGGGGUCAUCCCGACUUACCAACCCGAUGCAAACUACGAAUACCGAAGAAUGUUAUCACGGGAGACACACGGCGGGUGCUAACGUCCGUCGUGAAGAGGGAAACAACCCAGACCGCCAGCUAAGGUCCCAAAGUCAUGGUUAAGUGGGAAACGAUGUGGGAAGGCACAGACAGCCAGGAUGUUGGCUUAGAAGCAGCCAUCAUUUAAAGAAAGCGUAAUAGCUCACUGGUCGAGUCGGCCUGCGCGGAAGAUGUAACGGGGCUAAACCAUGCACCGAAGCUGCGGCAGCGACACUAUGUGUU
This 313-nucleotide ribosomal RNA is filed under the name Klebsiella pneumoniae. RNAcentral describes it as "partial 23S ribosomal RNA". It matches the Rfam family "Bacterial large subunit ribosomal RNA", at positions 911 to 1222 of the family's 2925-position model. The record is from RNAcentral. Lineage: Bacteria; Pseudomonadati; Pseudomonadota; Gammaproteobacteria; Enterobacterales; Enterobacteriaceae.